Molecule: ribosomal RNA, 374 nt
Filed under: uncultured bacterium
Lineage: Bacteria
Description: bacterial SSU rRNA
Rfam family: Bacterial small subunit ribosomal RNA
Source: RNAcentral
AAUCAACGUUGGCGGCGCGCCUAACACAUGCAAGUCGAACGAGAAAGUGGAGCAAUCCAUGAGUAAAGUGGCGUACGGGUGAGUAACACGUGGGUAAUCUGCCUGUUAGUGGGGAAUAACCCUGGGAAACCGGGGCUAAUACCGCAUAAGUUCGUAAGAAGAAAGUCGCAAGACGCUGACAGAGGAGCCCGCGGCCGAUUAGCUAGUUGGCAGGGUAAAAGCCUACCAAGGCGACGAUCGGUAGCCGGCCUGAGAGGGCACACGGCCACACUGGCACUGAAACACGGGCCAGACUCCUACGGGAGGCAGCAGUGGGGAAUCUUGCACAAUGGGGGAAACCCUGAUGCAGCGACGCCGCGUGAGUGAUGAAGCCC